AGAGUUUGAUCCUGGCUCAGGACGAACGCUGGCGGCGUGCCUAAUACAUGCAAGUAGACGAACGGGUGAGUAACGCGUAGGUAACCUACCUCAUAGCGGGGGAUAACUAUUGGAAACGAUAGCUAAUACCGCAUAAGAGAGACUAACGCAUGUUAGUAAUUUAAAAGGGGCAAUUGCUCCACUAUGAGAUGGACCUGCGUUGUAUUAGCUAGUUGGUGAGGUAAAGGCUCACCAAGGCGACGAUACAUAGCCGACCUGAGAGGGUGAUCGGCCACACUGGGACUGAGACACGGCCCAGAC
This 300-nucleotide ribosomal RNA is filed under the name uncultured Streptococcus sp. RNAcentral's name for it is "bacterial SSU rRNA". It matches the Rfam family "Bacterial small subunit ribosomal RNA", at positions 8 to 336 of the family's 1533-position model. Lineage: Bacteria; Bacillati; Bacillota; Bacilli; Lactobacillales; Streptococcaceae. The record is from RNAcentral.